GGAAGGAUCAUUACUGAUUAAAAAUCCAUUCACUCCUCGUGAGCGAAUGGUGACAGGAUGAUGUCUAUCCCGCUUGCGGGAGAGGCAUGUAAAACUGUACCCUGUGUAUUUUACCAAUACGUAUCGCGAUCUCACUUUAGUAAUAAAGUUAGGCGCGAGUCGCCGGUACGCCCGGUUUGACAACCAUUUUCCCUUACUUGUGCUAUCGAGAAAAAAACAUAUCAAGACUCAAUAUGGGGGAUCACUUAGUCCUUAAAUCGAUGAAAAACAUAAUAAUUUGUGGAAAUUGAUGUGAGUUGUGAAAUUUUGUGAGCAUUGUGUUUUUGAAUGAGAAUUUCAGCGUGGAUGCAUUCGUAUCUAUGCUACAUUUGUUUCAGUAUAUAAACAGUCUAAUACGUAUUUACUAUUGCUAGAAUGCAAUGGUAUAAAAUCUAUAUGAUCACGUGAGUGAUGAGAGUCGAACGAAUUGACGUGUAUCUGAAAUCAAGUGUGACGACCCGCUGAACUUAAGCAUAUCAAUAAGCGGAGGAAAAGAAAUCAAAUGAGAUUUCCAUAGUAGCUGCGAGUGAACUUGAAUCAAGCCUAUUGCCAAUUCUUAUGUUUUGUACAAUAAGAGAUGAGGUGUAAAGGUGUCUCGUGUUCAACAGAGGUACAGCUUAAUUAUUAUUGAGUGAGUGCUCAGAGAAGGUGAAAAGCCUGUGUGGUUGUGCUAACCUGUUGAACCGUGAUACUAAAGAGUCUAGUUGUUUGAGAGUACAACUUAAAGCUGGUGGUAAAUUUCAUCAAAGGCUAAAUAUAUGAGGGGACUAAUAGCGAACAAGUACCAUGAGGGAAAGUUGAAAAGAACCCUGACGAGAGAGUUUAACAGUACGUGAAACCAUAUUGAGUAAAACAGAUAAAUGUGUUGUUAUGUGGUGUGCCUAUCAACAGUCUAUUUGGUGUUGUGAUGCCAUGAGUGUAGGUUGUCUAUUCAGCUGAUUGCUCGUGGUUAGCAUAGCCAGAGAUUCUGUGCACUAGUGCACACUCAAUCAUUGAGAAACUAUGCUGCUGCGGCAUCGGUGUGCAUCAGUCCGUACCUAGUACACAGUUGCAUGCUGGGCGUUAGCUAGCUGGCGUAGUUUAGCUGUGUUGACCUAACCUAGCUGUGGGUUGCGUUUAUCAAAGGUGGCUACUUUAUCUGCGAAUUGGUUUAUUCCUUUUUGCGGUGAGUAUGUUACUGUAGGUAAGCGGCUCGCCAUCAAUGGUUAACAUUAGUUAUUUGACCCGUCUUGAAACACGGACCAAGGAGUUCAAAUGGCACGCGAGUCAUUGGGUUUAAGCACCCGAAGGCGAAGUGAAAUGCAAACGUAUUGUUAUUUGUGGUUGUUCCAUGAUUAGGCGAUAAGCUACUCAUGCUUUCUGGGCAUUUGUAGACUACAAGCGUGAUGUUUGAGACCCGAAAGAUGGUGACCUAUGCCUAGUCAAGAUGAAGCCAGAGGAAACUCUGGUGGAUGUCUGAAGUUAUUCUGACGUGCAAAUCGCUAAUCUGAUCUGGGUAUAGGGGCGAAAGACUAAUCGAACCAUCUAGUAGCUGGUUCCUUC
Molecule: unclassified non-coding RNA, 1581 nt
Filed under: uncultured fungus
Lineage: Eukaryota; Fungi
Description: sequence contains 18S rRNA gene, ITS1, 5.8S rRNA gene, ITS2, 28S rRNA gene
Rfam family: Eukaryotic large subunit ribosomal RNA (bases 474-1581)
Source: RNAcentral